This 73-nucleotide transfer RNA is filed under the name Mustela putorius furo (domestic ferret). It matches the Rfam family "tRNA". Rfam says of the family: Transfer RNA (tRNA) molecules are approximately 80 nucleotides in length. Their secondary structure includes four short double-helical elements and three loops (D, anti-codon, and T loops). The record is from Rfam by way of RNAcentral. Lineage: Eukaryota; Metazoa; Chordata; Mammalia; Carnivora; Mustelidae.
CCCCAGCUGGCUCAGUUGGUGGAGCCUGUGACUGGUGAUCUUAGGGUUGUGAGUUCAAGCCCCACGUUGGGUG